AAAAAAAAAUCAAUUAAAAUAAAUUGACAUAAAAAUAAAUUGACAUGAAAAUAAAUUGACAAUGAAAAUGUCCUAUUUAAAAGCUCCCACCUUAAGGUACCCUAGGUACUACCUUAGCUAAACAUGAACUCAACCUCUCCCAAGCCUUGGGUCUUCCUUUGUGACCCUUAGAGCAUCCUAUUAUGUGGUUCUCUUGAGUGCUCAAGUGGUCCACCAAUGGUUUUUUGGGACUGUACCUUAGGUACACCUUAAUGACCUUUAAGUAUUACCUUAAGAGACCCUAGGUACUACCUUAGCUAAACUUGAACUCAACCUCUCCUAAGCCUCGAGCUUUCCUUGGCUUUCCUUUGUGAGCCUUAAAGCAUCUCAUUAUGUGGUUGAGCAUCUCAUUAUGUGGUUCUCUUGAGUGCUCAAGUGGUCCACCAAAGGUUUUUUGUAAUUGUACCUUAGGUACUACCUUAAGAGCCCUUAGGUACUACCUUAAUGGCCUUUAGGUACUAGCUAAAGGGACCCUAGGUACUACCUUAGCUAAACAUGAACUCAACCUCUCCCAAGCCUCGGGUCUUCCUUUGUGACCCUUAGAGCAUCCCAUUAUGCGGUUCUCUUAAGUGCUCAAGAGGUUCACCAAAGGUUUUUUGGGACUGUACCUUAAGUACUAC
RNAcentral lists this long non-coding RNA (659 nucleotides) under Vitis vinifera (wine grape). Its description in RNAcentral is "long non-coding RNA (VVIN_LNC007114)". Lineage: Eukaryota; Viridiplantae; Streptophyta; Magnoliopsida; Vitales; Vitaceae. The record is from RNAcentral.